UACGGGGGGGCAAGCGUUGUUCGGAAUUACUGGGCGUAAAGGGCGCGUAGGCGGCUCGUCAAGUCGGGCGUGAAAUCUCCAGGCUUAACCUGGAAAAGUCGUUCGAUACUGUUGAGCUAGAGUGUGGAAGAGGCUACUGGAAUUCCGUGUGUAGCGGUGAAAUGCGUAGAUAUACGGAGGAACACCCGUGGCGAAGGCGGCUCUCUGGGACGGUACUGACGCUGAGACGCGAAAGCGUGGGGAGCGAACAGG
This 252-nucleotide ribosomal RNA is filed under the name uncultured bacterium. RNAcentral describes it as "partial 16S ribosomal RNA". It matches the Rfam family "Bacterial small subunit ribosomal RNA", at positions 524 to 776 of the family's 1533-position model. The record is from RNAcentral.